UACGUAGGGUGCGAGCGUUAAUCGGAAUUACUGGGCGUAAAGCGUGCGCAGGCGGCUUUGCAAGACAGAUGUGAAAUCCCCGGGCUCAACCUGGGAACUGCAUUUGUGACUGCAUGGCUAGAGUGCGGCAGAGGGGGAUGGAAUUCCGCGUGUAGCAGUGAAAUGCGUAGAUAUGCGGAGGAACACCGAUGGCGAAGGCAGCCCCCUGGGUCAAGAUUGACGCUCAUGCACGAAAGCGUGGGGAGCAAACAGG
RNAcentral lists this ribosomal RNA (253 nucleotides) under uncultured bacterium. RNAcentral's name for it is "partial 16S ribosomal RNA". It matches the Rfam family "Bacterial small subunit ribosomal RNA", at positions 524 to 776 of the family's 1533-position model. The record is from RNAcentral.